UGGGAACUGCUGCCCUUCUCUACGGAAUACCUCUGGGAAACGGAGAGUAAUACCGUAUACGCCCUUUGGGGGAUAGAUUAUCGGAGAAGGAUCGGCCCGCGUUAGAUUACGUAGUUGGUGGGGUAACGGCCUACCAAUGCCAUUAACGAACUGAAAGUCGUACUAGCCAUGGCUUUUAGAAGGAUGAUCAGCAACACUGGGACUGAGACACGGCCCAGACUCCUACGGGAGGCAGCAGUGGGGAAUCUUAGACAAUGGGGGCAACCCUGAUCUAGCCAUGCCGCGUGAGUGAUGAAGGCCUUAGGGUCGUAAAGCUCUUACGCCUGUGAUGAUAAUG
Molecule: ribosomal RNA, 337 nt
Filed under: uncultured Alphaproteobacteria bacterium
Lineage: Bacteria; Pseudomonadati; Pseudomonadota; Alphaproteobacteria
Description: bacterial SSU rRNA
Rfam family: Bacterial small subunit ribosomal RNA
Source: RNAcentral